UGGGGAAUUUUGGACAAUGGGCGAAAGCCUGAUCCAGCAAUGCCGCGUGUGUGAAGAAGGCCUUCGGGUUGUAAAGCACUUUUGUCCGGAAAGAAAUCCUUGGCUCUAAUACAGUCGGGGGAUGACGGUACCGGAAGAAUAAGCACCGGCUAACUACGCGCCAGCAGCCGCGGUAAUACGUAGGGUGCAAGCGUUAAUCGGAAUUACUGGGCGUAAAGCGUGCGCAGGCGGUUUGCUAAGACCGAUGUGAAAUCCCCGGGCUCAACCUGGGAACUGCAUUGGUGACUGGCAGGCUAGAGUAUGGCAGAGGGGGGUAGAAUUCCACGUGUAGCAGUGAAAUGCGUAGAGAUGUGGAGGAAUACCGAUGGCGAAGGCAGCCCCCUGGGCCAAUACUGACGCUCAUGCACGAAAGCGUGGGGAGCAAACAGGAUUAGAUACCCUGGUAGUCCACGCCCUAAAACGAUGUCAACUAGUUGUUGGGGAUUCAUUUCCUUAGUAACGUAGCUAACGCGUGAAGUUGACCGCCUGGGGAGUACGGUCGCAAGAUUAAAACUCAAAUGAAUUGACGGGGUCAUAGCUGUUUCCU
RNAcentral lists this ribosomal RNA (586 nucleotides) under uncultured bacterium. Its description in RNAcentral is "partial 16S ribosomal RNA". It matches the Rfam family "Bacterial small subunit ribosomal RNA", at positions 355 to 1375 of the family's 1533-position model. The record is from RNAcentral.